UACGUAGGGUGCAAGCGUUAUCCGGAAUCACUGGGCGUAAAGCGUGCGUAGGUGGGAAAUUAAGUGAGAUGUGAAAUCGUGUGGCUCAACCAUAUCGUUGUAUCUCAUACUGGGUUCCUAGAGGACGGCAGAGGCAAGUGGAACUAGCAGUGUAGCAGUGAAAUGCGUAGAUAUCUGAAGGAACAUCAGUGGCGAAAGCGACCUCCUGGACCAAUACUGACGCUCAUGUGCGAAAGCGUGGGGAGCAAACAGG
This 253-nucleotide ribosomal RNA is filed under the name uncultured bacterium. RNAcentral's name for it is "partial 16S ribosomal RNA". It matches the Rfam family "Bacterial small subunit ribosomal RNA", at positions 524 to 776 of the family's 1533-position model. The record is from RNAcentral.